GUGAGCGUAGCUCAGUCUGGUUAGAGCAUUGGAUUGUGGUUCCAAGGGUCGAGGGUUCGAGUCCCUCCGUUCACA
RNAcentral lists this transfer RNA (75 nucleotides) under Tannerellaceae bacterium. Its description in RNAcentral is "tRNA-His". It matches the Rfam family "tRNA". From Rfam's summary of the family: Transfer RNA (tRNA) molecules are approximately 80 nucleotides in length. Their secondary structure includes four short double-helical elements and three loops (D, anti-codon, and T loops). Further hydrogen bonds mediate the characteristic L-shaped molecular structure. tRNAs have two regions of fundamental functional importance: the anti-codon, which is responsible for specific mRNA codon recognition, and the 3' end, to which the tRNAs corresponding amino acid is attached (by aminoacyl-tRNA synthetases). tRNAs cope with the degeneracy of the genetic code in two manners: having more than one tRNA (with a specific anti-codon) for a particular amino acid; and 'wobble' base-pairing, i.e. permitting non-standard base-pairing at the 3rd anti-codon position. Lineage: Bacteria; Pseudomonadati; Bacteroidota; Bacteroidia; Bacteroidales; Tannerellaceae. The record is from RNAcentral.